Molecule: unclassified non-coding RNA, 328 nt
Filed under: Candolleomyces candolleanus
Lineage: Eukaryota; Fungi; Basidiomycota; Agaricomycetes; Agaricales; Psathyrellaceae
Description: Psathyrella candolleana partial internal transcribed spacer region
Rfam family: Eukaryotic small subunit ribosomal RNA (bases 1-46)
Source: RNAcentral
AAGUCGUAACAAGGUUUCCGUAGGUGAACCUGCGGAAGGAUCAUUAACGAAUAUCUAUGGCGUUGGUUGUAGCUGGCUCUUAGGAGCAUUUUGUGCACGCCCGUCAUUCAUAUCAUCUUUCCACCUGUGAACUAUGUGUAGGCCUGGAUACCCCUCGCUUUGGCAACAAGGCGGAUACAAGGAUUGCUGCGUCGCAAGGCCAGCUCUCUUUGAAUUUCCAGGUUCUAUGUCUUUUACACACCCCAUUUGAAUGAUGUAGAAUGUAGUCAAUGGGCUAUCAUGCCUAUAAAACACUAUACAACUUUCAGCAACGGAUCUCUUGGCUCUC